This 492-nucleotide ribosomal RNA is filed under the name uncultured bacterium. RNAcentral describes it as "partial 16S ribosomal RNA". It matches the Rfam family "Bacterial small subunit ribosomal RNA", at positions 29 to 507 of the family's 1533-position model. The record is from RNAcentral.
AGUGAACGCUGGCGGUAGGCCUAACACAUGCAAGUCGAACGGCAGCACAGUAAGAGCUUGCUCUUACGGGUGGCGAGUGGCGGACGAGUGAGGAAUACAUCGGAAUCUACUUUUUCGUGGGGGAUAACGUAGGGAAACUUACGCUAAUACCGCAUACGACCUACGGGUGAAAGCAGGGGAUCUUCGGACCUUGCGCGAUUGAAUGAGCCGAUGUCGGAUUAGCUAGUUGGCGGGGUAAAGGCCCACCAAGGCGACGAUCCGUAGCUGGUCUGAGAGGAUGAUCAGCCACACUGGAACUGAGACACGGUCCAGACUCCUACGGGAGGCAGCAGUGGGGAAUAUUGGACAAAGGGCGCAAGCCUGAUCCAGCCAUACCGCGUGGGUGAAGAAGGCCUUCGGGUUGUAAAGCCCUUUUGUUGGGAAAGAAAAGCAGCAGGUUAAUACCCCGCUGUUCUGACGGUACUCAAAGAAUAAGCACCGGCUAACUUCGUG